Long non-coding RNA from Oncorhynchus tshawytscha (Chinook salmon), 927 nucleotides. The record is from Ensembl. NCBI's taxonomy places the organism in Eukaryota, Metazoa, Chordata, Actinopteri, Salmoniformes, Salmonidae.
UUCUGGAUACAAAAACCAACACAUGUUUAUUAAAAGUUAGAACGUGUUGUGAUGAAGACAGGGGAUGAAGACAUUCAUGCUCCAGAUUCAACGAGUGGAAAGUCAUUUUGUUGUUGAAUGUUGAUUCAUGUACACCGCUAUCACAGUCUUCCUCUGCUUUCUCCUACACAAUACUAGAACCAGGGAGCACCACUGGUGCAAAUAUUUACAGACAGACAAUGUACAUUUAGAGGAUUUCCUUUCUUCUUAAUGCCGUCUUAAAAAAAAAAAUGUAUAUGAACAAGAAUUUUUUUUUUUUUUUUUUGUUUUUUUGCAUUUGAAACUCUGAAGGUGAAAGUAGCCUCUAUCUCUCUUCUUCUCUCGGUGUGUACCGUUCUCCAGCACAACAGCCCCGAGUCACUCAGCUGGGAGAACCUCAGCCUCUCAGACCCACUGGAACUGACCUGGAGUCAGGCUCACGUCACAAAUAGCACCUUAUCCCCCUAUAUAUAAGUGCACUAGUUUCGACCAGAGCUUUUGGCCAUAGGUCUCUGGUCAACAGUAAUCCCCUACAUAAUGAAUAGGUUGCUAUUUGGGAUACACCCUCAGUCAGACCUGAACGGCUACAGGAAGUGGCAACAGACCGAGACACAGAACAAAACAAGAUGGAGGAAUCUGACCACAGAACAGACGUUAUGUGAAGACACUAAAAAGAGUCGUACCAGAAUGCCGAAAAAUAAACAUGUUGCUUUGGACCUUUUUUGAAGAGUAUCCUGACUGAUUCAGAACUAGCCUUUCAUCCCAGGGUAUACCAGAACUAGCCUUUCAUCCCAGGGUGAACCAGAACUAGCCUUUCAUCCCAGGGUAUACCAGAACUAGCCUUUCAUCCCAGGGUAUACCAGAACUAGCCUUUCAUCCCAGGGUAUAACAGAACUAGCCUUUCAUCCC